ACAGGCCACCCAAGCUCCCAGGCUACCAUUUGGAGAUCGUUGCUUCGGAGGAAUCCCGGGUCAGGCUGCUGGAAUCUGGACUCACACUUCCGAAACCUCAGUGUUCUGAUCGAUGCUUUACAAGCUGGCUUUGCCCACCUCUCCCAUGGAACACCCUUCCUCCACUGGUCUUUUGAAAUUAUUGCUGUUGGUCUGAUUUUGCUGCCUCUGCUACCAGACGGAUACUGAUGACAAGCUGAGAGGAAGGAGGAAAAAAAUCUCGUAAAAAAAGAGGAAUUUUUAGUCACAAAAAGGAAAUUAUGCCUGCUAAGUGAGACAAGAUGUGAAUUGGCCUUAAAAAGGAGCAGACAUGAAUGUUAAGUGGCAGCUUUGUGCUGAAGGUGGGCAGGCGGCCUUGAGUGGCUGAAGAGGAAGACCGGGGGUGUGGAGGCGGUGGAUCCUUCUAG
RNAcentral lists this long non-coding RNA (446 nucleotides) under Homo sapiens (human). Its description in RNAcentral is "HSALNT0126096". The record is from RNAcentral. Lineage: Eukaryota; Metazoa; Chordata; Mammalia; Primates; Hominidae.